RNAcentral lists this transfer RNA (75 nucleotides) under Sphaerisporangium melleum. RNAcentral describes it as "tRNA-Pro". The record is from RNAcentral. Lineage: Bacteria; Bacillati; Actinomycetota; Actinomycetes; Streptosporangiales; Streptosporangiaceae.
CGAGCGUGCUGGCCGGGUCCGGGCCACGCUGGCUGGGAGUCUGCGCCGACCUGGCGUUCGUCGCCGCGCGGGCGG